Molecule: ribosomal RNA, 676 nt
Filed under: uncultured soil bacterium
Lineage: Bacteria
Description: bacterial SSU rRNA
Rfam family: Bacterial small subunit ribosomal RNA
Source: RNAcentral
GCUGGCGGCAUGCUUAACACAUGCAAGUCGCACGGGCAGGGGUAACUCUGUCAGUGGCGGACGGGUGAGUAACGCGUAGGUAUCUAUCCUUGGGUGGGGGACAACCACGGGAAACUGUGGCUAAUACCGCAUGACGACUGAGGUCCAAAGGCCGAAAGGUCGCCUGAGGAGGAGCCUGCGUCCGAUUAGCUUGUUGGUGGGGUAACGGCCUACCAAGGCUCCGAUCGGUAGCUGGUCUGAGAGGAUGAUCAGCCACACUGGGACUGAGACACGGCCCAGACUCCUACGGGAGGCAGCAGUGGGGAAUAUUGGACAAUGGGCGAAAGCCUGAUCCAGCAAUGCCGCGUGUGUGAAGAAGGUCUUCGGAUUGUAAAGCACUUUCGACGGGGACGAUGAUGACGGUACCCGUAGAAGAAGCCCCGGCUAACUUCGUGCCAGCAGCCGCGGUAAUACGAAGGGGGCUAGCGUUGCUCGGAUUGACUGGGCGUAAAGGGCGCGUAGGCGGUUUGUACAGUCAGACGUGAAAUUCCUGGGCUCAACCUGGGGGCUGCGUUUGAUACGUGCAGACUUGAGUUCGGAAGAGGGUCGUGGAAUUCCCAGUGUAGAGGUGAAAUUCGUAGAUAUUGGGAAGAACACCGGUGGCGAAGGCGGCGACCUGGUCCGAUACUGACGCUGA